CCUACGGGAGACAGCAGUGGGGAAUAUUGCACAAUGGGGGGAACCCUGAUGCAGCGACGCCGCGUGGAUGAAGGAGUCUUUCUGUAUGUAAAGCCCUAUCAGCAGGGAAGAACACUGCCGUUACCUUACUAAGUCGCACCGGCUAAAUACGUGCCAGCAGCCUCGGCAAUACGGAUGGUCCAAGCGUUAUCCGGAUUUACUGGGUGUAACGGGAGCGCAGGCGGCGCGUUAAGCCUGGUGGGAAAGCCCGCGGCCCAACCGCGGGACUGCAUUGGGAACUGGCGCGCUGGAGUGCCGGAGGGGUAGGCGGAAUUCCUAGUGUAGCGGUGAAAUGCGUAGAUAUUAGGAGGAACACCAGUGGCGAAGGCGGCAUACUGGACGGUGACUGACGCUGAGGCUCGAAAGCGUGGGGAGCAAACAGGAUUAGAUACCCCAGUAGUC
This 441-nucleotide ribosomal RNA is filed under the name uncultured bacterium. RNAcentral's name for it is "partial 16S ribosomal RNA". It matches the Rfam family "Bacterial small subunit ribosomal RNA", at positions 338 to 795 of the family's 1533-position model. The record is from RNAcentral.